Molecule: RNA transcript, 7015 nt
Organism: Dendrobium catenatum
Lineage: Eukaryota; Viridiplantae; Streptophyta; Magnoliopsida; Asparagales; Orchidaceae
Gene name: E3 ubiquitin-protein ligase CHIP
Exons: 2
Source: RefSeq, a predicted model, not a curated record
CUAAUCAUCAAUCAAUUAAAAACACCUCGAGUGUAAAAGACUUUUCUAAGUUUUCUUCUUUGAUUUGGACUCCAAGCUUGCUCUAUGAUGUUGACACUCUAGGUCUUCUCAAGUUUUUAUAAGUUGUAGCGUGUCUUUGUUUUUAAUAAUAUUGUUAUUUUGUUUAUGUUUGUCUAUGUUUUAAGGAAGAAGAAGACUCUUAAUUUGCAAUCUUAGCGUUUAUAUUUAUCUAUGUUAUAAGAAAGGAAGAUUUGUGUCUUUGCAUUAUUUCCUGUCGCAUCAAUUUGGUAUCAGAGCCUUAGAUUUUAAUGUGUCUUCCUUUUUUUUCUUUAGAAAAAUUAAAAAAAAGGACAAUCCUGAUAUAAUAGAACCUGUUGUUUACAAAAAUCGUGAAGACAAAAUUCCAACAAGCAGAUGGAUCCCGUCCUAAGGAAGUUCUACAGAUCCAAUCUAGAAUGAGUUAUGCAAAAUUCAAGAAAAAAUGUUUUUUUGUGCCGAAAGAACUGAGAAGAGAAAGAGUCAACUUCAAGCCCAAUUUAUUCAAGAAAAAUAAAUGAUUCAAAAGAAAGUAUGUGGCUCUAAUAUAGGAGUUGGAUAUGGCUUAGUCUGCGCAUGAUAGAAGUUCAGAAUCUAUCUCAUCAGGAGAUAGAGAUUUUUCCACAAAGGGAGAAUUGAUAUAGGCAAAAGUUUCAAUUUUUUCUUAAUAUGCAUUUAUUGGUGGGCUGUUUUUUCUUUUAUUGGGCUGGGCCCAUUUGUCCUUGGCUGCUUGGUGUUUGGAGGUCACGACUGAUGGGUUUCUUUGGUUGUUUGGUUUUUGGGCUGGCUGUUGGGUUGCCUUGCUGCUCGGUUCUGGGCUGGCCGUGCCUUGCCCUUGGUGUCUGUUGGGUUUCCUGGCUGUUUGGUUCCUAGACUGGCUGUUGGAAUGCCUGGCUGCUCGGUUCCUUGGCUGGUCGUGCCUUGUUCUUUGGUUUUUUUCCCCUGUUUGGAUUGGUUGCUUGGGUGGCACUUGUGGGAGGCUGUUUGUAUUCUUUUUCCCUAUUUAUAGUGACUGUUUGUUGCUAUUUAAGGAGGGUUUUUAGAGAUGAAAAAUUGUGGAAUGUAAAACCUGCAGGUUUUUUGCUUGCGAGCUAGCCUCCUUUCCCCUUCCACUCUUGUAUUUCAUCUUGGAAUUAUAACUCCUCUCCACGGUUUUCAAACUCUACAUGUAUCCUUCUUCACAAGUUUUUAUAAGUUGUAGUGUGUCUUUGUUUUUAAUAAUAUUGUUAUAUUGUUUAUGUUUGUUUAUAUUUUAAGGAAGAAGUUGUCUCUUAAUUUGCAAUCUUAGUGUUUAUAUUUAUCUAUUUUGUAAGAAAGGAAGAUUUGUGUCUUUGCACUAUUUUCUGUCACAUCACCUUGUUUCUGCUUGGACUUAUCUCUUUGAAGUUCUUUGCUUUCGUUGCUCCUUGUUCUUCUUCUUGCCUUGAUAUGCCUCGUUGAUGCGUUCUUUCUUUUUGAGUAAUUGCACCUUACUCUCUCUCUCUCUCCCCUUUUCCCUUGGCUUGAGCAAGAAAGAGAUGUUAUUCUAGUGAGAGAGAGGGCGGUUGGCUUUAUCUUGUUCAGAGAGGUCAAUGAUGGCCUAAAUUUGCAAGAUGGUGUAAGGUUGGAUAGCUAAUGAGAAGGAGAGGAGGAGAGACUUAUUAAUUCAUGAGUAGAAUUGGAAUUCAUCUGAAUUUAAUUUUUUAGGUGCAAGCUCCUAUUUAUAGGAAACAAAACUCUAGGAUAGAGAAGAUAAUUGUUAAGAAUUAUUCUCAAUCUCAUUCAUGAUAAAUAAAUUAUCAGAUUGGAAAGGCCCUUUAUUUUGAUAACCUUUACAUCUAGGUUAAUGAGUUAUACAUUUUCUAUUUAAAUUCAAUCUUUCGACUCCCCCUUUAGUGGUUGGUCAUAUGGUAUUUGGGUUGAUUUUUGGAGAUGGAAUCUUGGAUUUUGUUAGAUUCCUCUUGAAUUUGAAGGUGCACUACCUUUUUUUUUGGAUAUGGUGGCCAACCUUACAUGUUUAGGAGUUUGUUUUACAUUUUAAAUCAUGUCCCUUGAAUUUAAUGCUGCCUUUCCUUGCUUGCAUGGAGCCUAUUAUGCUUUAUGAACCCAAUGUGACAUAUAGGCUUAAGUUGGGUCUAACAGUUAGGCUUGAUUUCUGUGUAAUAUUAUUAUGACUUUUUCUUGAUUUAUGGUUAACCAAGUGUUGGUGCACCCUUUUGGUCCCUGUAUUUGAUUUGGAUUGCUAAUUAACCAAUAUUAAGUUAUAUAAAAGAACCACAAGGAUCAUGACCCUCCCUUUGGAGUUCAUUUGCUCUUGCAAAUCAACGUUAGUUUGAAUGCAAAUAUAAUUUGUAUUUGACCCCUCAAUUGUGUAGUUAAACCAUAUAACAUUAAAGUUCCCAUGAAAUAUAACUAAUUGAUGUGACAUGUCCAAAUUUAGCAGUAUUUACCAUUUGUGUAGCUUACCACUCAUGGUGUUGGAUUUGUCCCAAGGAAGAUGGCAGUCAUAAAUGUUGUUAAGACUAAAAUCUUUCUAUUUUGUAAUAACCUCCUAUUUGUGGAGAAAUUAUUACUUGCGUACAUUGAACGUAGAGCUACAUUCAGACUCCAAUGAAAAUAUGACGCGUGUGGACGUAUUAUUGUGUAUUGAUGUGCAUUAGCUAGUACACAAUAAUACACACUAAUACACAAUUACACAUUAAAUUCACAAUAAUAAAUAGCAAUACCUAAUAAUACACUAGUACUCGCAUCAUAUUUUCAUUGGAGUUUGAACAUAAUUCUAUGUCCGGUGUCCGCAAGUAAUAAUUUCUCCAAAUUGUGGGAUCGACCCCCAAGAAACUGACUAAUGAGGUUUUGUUGGACUAAUCUAAAGCAGGAAUAAUACUUAUCCUUUUUGUAAUGCAUUGUGUCCCUCAAACGUGGGUGGCCCAAUGUGGCGUGGUACCACACUGCUUGAGUGGUAGUGAUAUUAGACAUUUUUUAGCACCUUUUGAGCUUUCUUGAUCCUCAUGAACGUUGGCUCUCUUCGAAGGAAGAUUAAAUUUGCAUAAUUGGAUUGACCAUUAUAUCUUCAUGCUUCUUGAUGGCAGUUGAAUUGUUAUAAUUGCGGUUUGCCUAGAUUAGAGAGAUUUUUCUUAAAGAUGACAUUUUUCUUGUUCUUAGUUGGUUAUUCUCCUUUUUUUCCUUGCUUUCCUUGAUUCUUGGUCCUCUCGUUGUUAUGACAUGCCUCGUUAUUUUCUCCCUUUGUGAUGAAGCUUGGCUUGGUUAGGAUUAUAUUGUAUUUGGGGAACAAGGGAGGGCCAUGAGAAUUUUGUCUAGUAUCUUUUCCCCUUUAGUAGCUAAUAAUACGGUGGCUGGAGUAAUUUGUGAGCCUGAAAAUCUUAAUUAUCUUGAAGUCAUCCUACUGAAUUUGAAAAAAGGAUUUUCUUUCUUCUUGAUUAUUUAGUGGUUCAUCUCUAUACAUGUGGAAGUUGAUUUUGCAUUUUAAAUUAUGCCCUUUGAAUAUCAUGUAACACCUAAUGUAGUUUUCAUGUAAUCUCUUGUAUUCCACGAGUUUGAAAUUAGGUUUGACUUUGGGUCUAACAAGGUCUUGAUGCGCUCAUCCCACUGAAAAUCUUUUUUUUUUCUCAUGAUGCGCUCUGCUAAGGUUUGGAGUUUUGCACCGUCUCCUUCGUUGCGUGGUUUCGUUGCCGCCUCAAGGAAGAUUUCUCUCCUCUCUCAGUAAUUUUUCUGCUGCUUUUUUCUAUCAUGGAGGGCAAAAGGCUUUUGGAUCCUGGUUUUUUGUCUGGUUCCCCUUCUUCUCGGUCUUUUCGUGAGGUUUUAGCGGGUUCUUCUAAAGCUUCGAUCUCUUCUUAUCCUGAUCUUAAGAUCUCGUCUUUUAGAGGGCUUCCUUCACUUUGGAUUUCUGAUGAGGAGGUGCUAGCCCUAGUUGCUUCUUUUGAGUUUGCACUUGUUGGAAAAUUUCCGACCCAUCGUCCGUCGUUGGAAGCGAUUCGUAAUUUUUUUUUCAAUCUCAAACUUAAUGGAGUUUUCUCUGUCGCUGUUCUCAACCCUAAGCAUAUUCUAAUCAAGCUGGAAAAUGACUUGGAUUAUUGUCGAGUUUUCUCUCAUCGUUCUUAUUUUGUGAACAAUUGUUUCAUGAAGGUUUUCAAAUGGUCCCCUACAUUUGACAUUGAUGUCGAAUCCCCUACUAUACCAAUUUGGAUUUCCUUUCCUAAUCUUAGGCCUCACCUCUUUGCCCCGAGAGUUUUGCAAGGGCUUGGCUCCAUGUUUGGUAAGCUUCUAAAAAUUGAUCAGGCGACUUCCACUGGUAGGCGGCCUUCAGUUGCUCGGGUUCUGGUGGAAUUAGAUGUUACAAAGAUUUAUCCUGAUAAAAUUUGGGUUGGAUCCGAGACUUUAGGCUAUAUUCAAUCGGUUAAUAUGGAGCCCUUUUCUGUUUAUUGCUCGCAUUGUAAAUCCCUAGGUCAUUCUAAACCUGAAUGCCCUGUUCUUCACCCUCUGCCCAAUCAUGUGGCUGCCCCUAUUAUUGCUGAGGUGCCUUCUAUUAAUUUGGAUUGUGGUUUUCAUGAUUCCUUACCUCCUGCGGCUCCUGCUAUUUUGAUUCAUGGAAAUGGUGGUUUGGCUGUUAAUUCUGCUAUUGAUAAUGUGGAUGAGGAAGUUUGUGUUUCUAGUUCUCCUUUGCCUAUUCGGGAUGUUGUAUUGUCUCCAGUGCCUGUGGCACACUCUUUAGAUUUGCCUGCUUGCGCUUCUGUCCCUGCUGUUGUGGUCAAUUUGGAUGAUUUGGAUAAUGCUGUGGUCGACGUAUUGUCUCAUUCGGGUGGUGGUGUUAUUGGUGUUGAUGCUGUCGCUCUUUUAUCCCAUGAUGCUCAACCUUUUCUUCCUCAACUUGUCGCCCCUCGUGCGUGUCUUAGUGCUGAGGUCCCUGGUUGUGUUGGUUAUGUUUUGUCUGGGAGGUCAGCACUGCCUGUUUUGGCUAGUACUACGUUAGAGCCGUUGGAUUUGGAUUGCCCGAAUGCGACGAAUCCUGCUCCUGUUAAUUUGGAUGCGGGUGUUUGUGUGGUUUCUAUGUCUGCAACCUCUAGCUCGCCUCCAGUUUUGAAUGACUGUAUAGUCAAUAACAAUUUUGUGGAUGUCUAUGUUAAUUUAAUUGAUUCUAAGAGCUUAGUGUAUUAUGUGGGGGACAAUUCAGGCAUUGACGUGUUCGUGUGCAUUUGGACUGGCUUCAUGGUUCAUCUGUUAAUGGGUCUGAUUCUGGUUCUUUGGAUUCGAGUGGGGAUGACUACCCAGGGAACCCUUUUAACAUUUUACGUGAUAAAACUCUUGUUUCUGUUGCCUCUCGUGGUAGGGCUCGUGGGAGGGGCAGACGUGGCCGGUGAUGUUUUCUUGUUGGUUGCUUACCAGGUUUUUUGGCUUUUGGUUGCUUUUUGGGGGCUAUGUUCUGUCCCCUUGGAGUAGGCUUAUGGCUUGCUUGAGUUUUUGUUGUGUCGUGGGCUUGUUUGUUGGUUUGGUUGCCCAUUCAAGUUUUAUUAUAUGGACGAUGAGGAAGCAGCGCUGCUACAAGCGUCGUGGAUGGCCAGGGUUGGUGGCAACCUGGGUGGCCCUUUUCGUUCUCUUGGCAGCUUCUCAUUUGUGAAUUUCUUUUCUCCCAUGGAUGGCCCCUCUCUGGCAACCCGACGUUGGUCUGAGUCCGCGUCUUCCGUUUCAUAUCCCUUUUUUCCCUUAUUUUGGGUUUUUUGAGGUUUUAAUUGUAAGCUAUUGCUGUGGCCCGGUGUGGGGUCUUUGAUUGUACCUUUCCUAUUUUAAUGUAUUUCCUUUUAUUUUUUUUAAAAAAAAGCUAGGGCUUGAUAUUGGGCACUCCAAUUCGUGAGGCUAAAAUGUUAGGUUUGGGUCUAACUAGGGCUUAGAUUUUGGGCUUGAUUCUACAGUUAACCUUGCAUUGGUGCACACAUUUUCGGGUGAGUAAAAAGGCGUUGCAGUUGCUUUGUAAAAAUAAUCUGGUGUAGAUAUGUAAGGAAAUAAAUCUUCUGGCGUAAUGAAAUCUGAAUUAGAACAAGGAACAACACAUGAAUAUGUUGCGCUUGAACAAUCAAAGUUAUAAUCAUCUUACAUAAUCAUCAUUAUCCUUAUCCUAAUAUUUGUGGUCAGCUUUCUGAGUCCUUAACUCCGUCCAUUCUUAUAUUUGGCCUAAUAUUUCUUUUUAGGAUUUCUACCUUCAUCAUUUUAUCUUUCUGUUUUUCUUUUGGAUCUUUGAAUCCUUUUACAUUAAUUUUAUUUGCUUGUCUCAUAAGCAUAUCAUUUACUUUCUAUUGUAUAUAAAUGAAUAACCCAAAUUUAUUUUCCACUAUGUAUUCUUUAUGGGUAAAACUCUUAUUUCUUCUAAAUUAAUUAUUUCUUAAUCUUUUUAAUUUACUGUAAUAAUCUUUAUAUUAUCGAUUCUAUUAUGCCCAGUUUCACUAUAAAUGGAAUUUUUUAUUACGAGGGCUUGGAUUCACAUGCUCUUUAAUUUUUUAAUUUUUCCCUUAUUAGUAGAGGUUUCAUAAAUUAGAAGUAUGGCAUCCGAAUAUAACAUAUAAUAAGGUUGCCAUUCAUUUAUGGUAUUUUUUUAUACAUUUCCAUAACCAAUGCAGAACUAUCAUACUUGUUGUGGAUUAUUGAGGAAGCUUUCGUUAUAUAUAUAUGGAGAGAAGUGAUUUUAUUUUGGUCCAAUUGUAAGUUUUCAUGCUUUAAGCAGAAGCUGGACGUUCUGGAUUGAACUUUGGUGAAAACUUCUGAUUCAAACUUCUAAAGGGCAACUUUCUAGAAUGCAAGAAUUUACAAACCGGCAUUUGAGUCCAUGGGAGUACCCAAUUGGAGAGGCUAAAAUGUUAGGCUCUUGAUCUUGGAAGGGUUACAAAGUCUGAUGGCUGCAUAGUUGAGGAUAUAUGGCAGGCACUUGCCAAAGGAAAGUACAAAGAAUGGGAACUUCAAUCCAGCAAGCGAGCUUGGCGUCUGCAGAAACUGA